This 384-nucleotide ribosomal RNA is filed under the name uncultured bacterium. RNAcentral's name for it is "bacterial SSU rRNA". It matches the Rfam family "Bacterial small subunit ribosomal RNA", at positions 94 to 475 of the family's 1533-position model. The record is from RNAcentral.
GAGUGCGAACGGGUGAGUAAUGCAUCGGAACGUGCCCAGUAGUGGGGGAUAGCCCGGCGAAAGCCGGAUUAAUCCCGCAUACGACCUGAGGGUGAAAGGGGGGGAUCGCAAGACCUCUCGCUAUUGGAGCGGCCGAUGUCAGAUUAGCUAGUUGGUGGGGUAAAGGCCUACCAAGGCAACGAUCUGUAGUUGGUCUCAGAGGACGCCCAGCCGCCUGGGACUGAGACCCGGCCCAGACUCCUACGGGAGGCAGCAGUGGGGAAUUUUGGACAAUGGGCGCAAGCCUGAUCCAGCAAUGCCGCGUGCAGGAAGAAGGCCUUCGGGUUGUAAACUGCUUUUGUCAGGGAAGAAAUCUUCUGGGUUAAUACCUCGGGAGGAUGACGG